Acanthochromis polyacanthus (spiny chromis) is the source of this 2308-nucleotide long non-coding RNA. RefSeq lists it as uncharacterized. The record is from RefSeq and is a predicted model, not a curated record. The transcript is spliced from 2 exons. NCBI's taxonomy places the organism in Eukaryota, Metazoa, Chordata, Actinopteri, Pomacentridae.
UCUAAACAAAAAUAUUAUUUUUGCCAUAGAAUGGCUUUCUUCUAAAACUACAAAGUAUCACUGGAAAGUACUCUCAGUCAUUAAAUUAUCCCUCAGACUAGAAAUUACUCAUUUGUAUUACAAAAUAAUGCAGACUAGAAAAGCCUUUGAUUAAACAGUCACUAUGUGAUAUUGCAAUUGUUUAUGACUUUGAACAUUUUCCAGCCACUGACAGAUCCCUCUCCUUGUCCUCCUUGUUGUACGCCUUCCCGGGGUUAGUCCGAAUCCUUUUUUCUGAUUGGCUGAGACGAAACACGUGACAGUGUGCAUCUAUUAGUGAUCGGAAGCAUUUGGGUCGUUCCGGUUAUACUCGGUAGCGUUCUUCAGUAAAGCAGCGCUCAAUUUAGACGGUUGCCAGGUCGCCAUUUGCGACUAAAAACCGAUUUUGGCGACCAAAAAUGACAAAAAACACGCUGGUUAGGGGCCCAAAUAUUUUGAGUUGGACUACUGACCUCCAAAUCCAAGUUUCCGCCGAUUUAAUUUCAAAUUUGAACACUUUAUUGUCGCUGAUGUUAACGUCGUUAACAUCUCGCAGGAGUCCGCAAGACUCCGUCGGAUCCAGAACCAGCCCAGAAUGUGGUGGCGGCAUCCGGAGGACAGCACCAACUGAGCCUGAGCACCGCGAACGGAAAGCACCAAGCCACCGGAGCUCUCAUUUUUUCAACUCGGCAGGUCCGCUGGCUGCUCUCCCCGGUCACAGACUGCUCAGACUCCCCAGCUGGCUAGCUAUCCCCUGCUAGCUGCUCGGCUAACACCUGCCGCUCCUCGCCGCUCAUCUGCCCGGGACAAACCGCACCUAUUCCGACUGUCGACAUCCCCAGUCACCCGCUAGGAGCUCCGGACAAUGCGCUGCUCAUUCGUGGGUUACUUUUCACGGCCGUGGGGGGUUUUAAGGCACACUUUGCCCAGCGACCAGUGAUGGCUCGGCAGCUCCAGCUAACAAGUUGACGUGGAAGAGGAACUGGAUCUCUCUCCCCCCCUCCAAAAAAAAAAAGGAUUAAUUUUUUUGGCCACUAAAAGUUGAUUUUGGCUCCGAAAAAUGUCUAAAUUGACGUAUGCGUAGGUGGCCCAAAAAAUGUCAUUUGGGCGACCGGACCUCUCGGCCUUAAAUCGAGCGCUGUAAAGGAGGCGCGGUUUGUUAUUUUCUUUGAUUAUCACUCGGCAAAUUACGAAAAAGUUGAUUGUGACACUGAUGAGACGUGGGCAAAAGUAUCUGUCGGGGUGCUGACUGUUGUCAGUGAAGAUGAGCAAGUCGUUCCAAAUCAGCUCCACCUUCACCCAAUAUCUACUGCCAUCAUUGUUGAGGGAGGUAUUGUAAUGGACAAUGUCCAGAACCUGCCUGAGGCACUUUGCCUUUUGUUUGGAUUGUCAUACGCUUUACAUUUAGACUACCCAAAGGCCAUGAAAAACACUUUGGGCUUCUUUCAAAGAGUGAUGCUUGGUCUGGGAGAGAGCAAACUCCCACCAAAAUUGCAAAGUCUUAAAAAUCUCUUGUUGAGUUACAAUGCAAAUGCACGAGUGGAUUCAGUUGUUUCUUAUUGUUCACUGUAUUAAAGUCAGCCCACGGGUUCAUCAGCAAGUUAGAGGCUGUAGAUGUUCGUACAUUCAUUCACACAGGUGAGAUUGCCAGUCAUUACCCACUCAGGUUUUUGUGUUAAAUACAGUGUUAUAAAGAGAAGAAAAAGUUGAUGUAAAUGGAAGAAAAAUAAAAGGCAAUUUAUAUUUGAACUUUCAACAGUUAUUACCUUGAUUUAUUAUGUUUAAUUGUAAUUCGGAUUAUUUUAAGAAAUUGGAGCCUGUUUUUCAUUCCUGUAUGGAUAUUUUUGAACCACUUAAAUUGCUGAAGUUCAGUUUGCAUGGUUUUAGAAAAUAAGUCAGAUUGCUGUCCAAGUAAAUAUAUAACUUAGAAAUGCUAAGUUAGUUCAACUUAGAUAAGUAUGUUAAAUGAACUGAACAGUGUAAAUUUAACAUGCAAUUUAGUAGAUUGAAAUAGUAAUUCUGAGUAGUCUUUGCUAAGUCAUCUCCGAAAAAAUCAUGGACAUUAAUAGACAAAACAAAAAAGGCCACUUAAGUGGUGAGUGUCUAAGUCCAAAACAUUUCCAGUUGUACAGUAUAUUGCAUUUUCAUGUUUUGGAUUUUCCUUGUUUAGGCCCAUAGAUGUAUUGUGUGUUUAUUUGUAAUCUUAGUCAUUCAUCUUAUUAAAUAAUAUUAUGUAAUAUAUUUCCUAAUGUUUGUUACCUUAUUGUUAUUAAACUACAUUGUCAUGAAA